Long non-coding RNA from Oncorhynchus keta (chum salmon), 2274 nucleotides. RefSeq lists it as uncharacterized. The transcript has 3 exons. The record is from RefSeq and is a predicted model, not a curated record. Lineage: Eukaryota; Metazoa; Chordata; Actinopteri; Salmoniformes; Salmonidae.
GGAACAAUGUUUAUCGUCACGGCAACGUGUUACGGUUUCUAUGUGUGUGGACUUGACGACAAGUUAUUGGUCACGUACACAUGGUCAGCAGGUGUUAAUGGUCAGCAGGUGUUAAUGGUCAGCAUGUGUUAAUGGUCAGCAUGUGUUAAUGGUCAGCAGGUGUUAAUGGUCAGCAUGUGUUAAUGGUCAGCAGGUGUUAAUGGUCAGCAUGUGUUAAUGGUCAGCAUGUGUUAAUGGUCAGCAUGUGUUAAUGGUCAGCAGGUGUUAAUGGUCAGCAUGUGUUAAUGGUCAGCAUGUGUUAAUGGUCAGCAUGUGUUAAUGGUCAGCAUGUGUUAAUGGUCAGCAUGUGUUAAUGGUCAGCAUGUGUUAAUGGUCAGCAGGUGUUAAUGGUCAGCAUGUGUUAAUGGUCAGCAUGUGUUAAUGGUCAGCAUGUGUUAAUGGUCAGCAGGUGUUAAUGGUCAGCAUGUGUUAAUGGUCAGCAUGUGUUAAUGGUCAGCAUGUGUUAAUGGUCAGCAGGUGUUAAUGGUCAGCAGGUGUUAAUGGUCAGCAUGUGUUAAUGGUCAGCAGGUGUUAAUGGUCAGCAUGUGUUAAUGGUCAGCAGGUGUUAAUGGUCAGCAUGUGUUAAUGGUCAGCAGGUGUUAAUGGUCAGCAUGUGUUAAUGGUCAGCAUGUGUUAAUGGUCAGCAGGUGUUAAUGGUCAGCAUGUGUUAAUGGUCAGCAGGUGUUAAUGGUCAGCAGGUGUUAAUGGUCAGCAUGUGUUAAUGGUCAGCAGGUGUUAAUGGUCAGCAUGUGUUAAUGGUCAGCAUGUGUUAAUGGUCAGCAGGUGUUAAUGGUCAGCAUGUGUUAAUGGUCAGCAGGUGUUAAUGGUCAGCAGGUGUUAAUGGUCAGCAUGUGUUAAUGGUCAGCAUGUGUUAAUGGUCAGCAGGUGUUAAUGGUCAGCAGGUGUUAAUGGUCAGCAGGUGUUAAUGGUCAGCAGGUGUUAAUGGUCACGUACACAUGGUCACGUACACAUGGUCAGCAGGUGUUAAUGGUCAGCAGGUGUUAAUGGUCAGCAUGUGUUAAUGGUCAGCAGGUGUUAAUGGUCAGCAGGUGUUAAUGGUCAGCAGGUGUUAAUGGUCAGCAGGUGUUAAUGGUCAGCAGGUGUUAAUGGUCACGUACACAUGGUUAGCAGAUGUUAAUGGUCACGUACACAUGGUUAGCAGUUGUUAAUGGUCACAUACACAUGGUUAGCAGUUGUUAAUGGUCACAUACACAUGGUUAGCAGAUGUUAAUGGUCAGCAGGUGUUAAUGGUCACGUACACAUGGUUAGCAGAUGUUAAUGGUCACGUACACAUGGUUAGCAGUUGUUAAUGGUCACAUACACAUGGUUAGCAGUUGUUAAUGGUCACAUACACAUGGUCAGCAGGUGUUAAUGGUCAGCAGGUGUUAAUGGUCACGUACACAUGGUUAGCAGAUGUUAAUGGUCACGUACACAUGGUUAGCAGUUGUUAAUGGUCACAUACACAUGGUUAGCAGUUGUUAAUGGUCACAUACACAUGGUUAGCAGAUGUUAAUGGUCACAUACACAUGGUCAGCAGAUGUUAAUGGUCACAUACACAUGGUUAGCAGAUGUUAAUGGUCACAUACACAUGGUUAGCAGAUGUUAAUGGUCACAUACACAUGGUCAGCAGAUGUUAAUGGUCAGCAGGUGUUAAUGGUCAGCAGGUGUUAAUGGUCACGUACACAUGGUUAGCAGAUGUUAAUGGUCACGUACACAUGGUUAGCAGUUGUUAAUGGUCACAUACACAUGGUUAGCAGAUGUUAUUGGUCACAUACACAUGGUUAGCAGAUGUUAUUGGUCACAUACACAUGGUUAGCAGUUGUUAAUGGUCACAUACACAUGGUUAGCAGAUGUUAAUGGUCACAUACACAUGGUCAGCAGAUGUUAAUGGUCACAUACACAUGGUUAGCAGAUGUUAAUGGUCACAUACACAUGGUUAGCAGAUGUUAAUGGUCACAUACACAUGGUUAGCAGAUGUUAAUGGUCACAUACACAUGGUCAGCAGAUGUUAAUGGUCACGUACACAUGGUCAGCAGAUGUUAAUGGUCACAUACACAUGGUUAGCAGAUGUUAAUGGUCACGUACACAUGGUCAGCAGAUGUUAACGCGAGUGUAGCGAAAUGCUUGUACUUCUCGUUCCGACAGUGCAGUGAUAUCUAACAUUUUCACAACAACUACCUAAUACACACAAAUCUAAGUAAAGACCUCAAGUUAGGAUUCUCAACAGGAAAUUGU